AUUCAUUUAUUAUAAUAGUAUAUCAAGCUUCCAACUUGAAGGUUUAAAUAAAAUUAAAAUGAAUA
Molecule: transfer RNA, 65 nt
Filed under: Anatkina vespertinula
Lineage: Eukaryota; Metazoa; Arthropoda; Insecta; Hemiptera; Cicadellidae
Description: tRNA-Gly
Source: RNAcentral